CAGGAAGAUGCCUCCCCACCUCAUUAUUUUGAAGAGAGGACAGUGAUAACUUCAAAGUUAUACUUCUCCAGGACUACUCAUGAUUCGUGGACAGAAGUUUCACCAUGAAAAGUGACAAAGUUCUGGGCAUGUCUGGAAGAAGCUUUUAAAUUGGAUUGAGGUGGGAAGACGCCCCCCCCCCCUUGAAUGUGGGAAUCACUCUUCCAUGGGAUGAGGUCCUAAAAGGAAUAAAAUGGAGAAGUGAAUCAGUAUUCAACCUUCACAUCUCGAUGGCAGACGUAAGGACAGGAUGAGAUCACUUUGAAAAAUCCACCACGAGGUGGCAGUAAAGAGAAAUCUAUGGCAUCUUAUCUUGGAGAGUUUAUGGGAAAGGUUACAAGUCCGGCUCCUUUGAAGAAUUACAAACGCACCU
Long non-coding RNA from Peromyscus eremicus (cactus mouse), 412 nucleotides. RefSeq lists it as uncharacterized. The record is from RefSeq and is a predicted model, not a curated record. Lineage: Eukaryota; Metazoa; Chordata; Mammalia; Rodentia; Cricetidae. The transcript has 4 exons.